AUCUUUCUAGUAUUAAAUAGUACAAGUGCCUUCCAAUUACUCAGUCUUGGUUAAAGUCCAAGGAAAGAUA
RNAcentral lists this transfer RNA (70 nucleotides) under Eigenmannia humboldtii. RNAcentral's name for it is "tRNA-Gly". It matches the Rfam family "tRNA". From Rfam's summary of the family: Transfer RNA (tRNA) molecules are approximately 80 nucleotides in length. Their secondary structure includes four short double-helical elements and three loops (D, anti-codon, and T loops). Further hydrogen bonds mediate the characteristic L-shaped molecular structure. tRNAs have two regions of fundamental functional importance: the anti-codon, which is responsible for specific mRNA codon recognition, and the 3' end, to which the tRNAs corresponding amino acid is attached (by aminoacyl-tRNA synthetases). tRNAs cope with the degeneracy of the genetic code in two manners: having more than one tRNA (with a specific anti-codon) for a particular amino acid; and 'wobble' base-pairing, i.e. permitting non-standard base-pairing at the 3rd anti-codon position. RNAcentral also lists the same sequence under 1 other name. Lineage: Eukaryota; Metazoa; Chordata; Actinopteri; Gymnotiformes; Sternopygidae. The record is from RNAcentral.